GCCACUCCCUCCCUCGGGAUCCUCCCGAUCCACCCGCUUGCCCAACCGGACGCCUCCACACACCGGUUCUCCCGCAGCUCUGUCCGAGCCGAUGCCCCAGGCACUCGAUCCGGAUGGGAUCGAGGCAGCCGCCGUCUUGCCUCCACUCCGACAGCACGCCGGCCGACCACCGUUGCGACCAGGCCAGUCCCGUCGCUCUGUGCCUUCCUUUUCUCCCGUGCUUCUCCCUCGUCUCACCUCUCCGUCUCUCUCAUCCCGUUCAAGCAGGAGCGCCGCCGCCCUCGACCCGUCUCCUUCCAGCCGGCAACGAGCAGUAGCUCGCCGGAGUUGAGCUCCACCGGGUCCCCCUCCCUCUGGCCGUUUCUGGCGCUCGCGUCACCGUCACCCACCCGUCGCCGGAGUUCCUCGCCGGCUCGCGCGCCAACCUGCAAGAACCAAGACGUCGGCCACCAGGGGCUCAAGACGCCGCUGUUCAGAUUUGCCUCGAGCCUCCUCUGCUUCACGCCUCCCCUCGCCGUAGUCCGUGGCCUCCGCCGCCCAAGAUCCGCCUGCCGGCCUCCGCAAGUCCCUCGCCGCAGCCGUCUCCCAACGCCACCAUCGAGCAGCAGCAGCUCGGGCAGAGGAGAUCGAUGCCUCUGCCUCGCUCGUGCGUUGACCUGCGGGUCAGCCCGUCCUCGAGCGCGGUUGCCAGCCGGUCGUCCUUGACCGCGUCGUGCCCAACGCGAGCAGGCCCAGUCCCCCGAUCUGCAAGCCAGUGCCGGCCUGCGAGACCUCUCCGACAGCCGGGCUGAGGCCCAAUGUGAGCUGCCUUUCAGCCCAGUUCCUUAAGUUUCAGCCCGAGUAGUUUUUUUCACUGUCUAGCGUUUUUGUCUUUAUCCAGGGAAUUACAAUUGUAAAGAAAACCCCUCAAUGUUCAUGCAUAUAAUAACUUUUUACCCAUGCAUCGGAAUUUAAAAAAUUAUAUAUGUAAAAUUCUUAGAGUUUCAUCUAGUUUAAUAAUUUCCAACUUUCAUUCAUGUUAAAAAUGUUUAAAUGUGAUGUUUGAAUUAAUUUGCAUAAAUGACUUGCUAAAAAUGAUUUAUUUCAUAACUAAAUAACCGUAGCUCCGAUUAAAUAAACUUUAUAUGUAAAUGGUCUAGAAAAAAUACAUAGAUUAACAUUGUGCACUUACUUUGCAUGUUUAACAACUUCAAAUUGUGUAUAGGGCAAAACAUUACCAAAUUCGAAAUAUGCAUAUGGGGAUUUUCUGAAAUUGUUAUUUGUUAUUUUUGGCCUCAUUUAAACUUGCAUAAAUAGUUAGUUUACUUAUGCUUCACCUCUUGCCAUGUUAACCAACAUUUAAUCUUGUCUUGUUCAUAAACGAGAGCGAACCAAAUAAAUGAAUGUGGUGUUUCGUCAAUAUGCAACUGCAUAUUGAGCUCCACUUAAUUUGUAGUAUUAUUUGUUGCACUUUGCCAUGUCGUGCCUCAUUAAAAUGGACAUGCAUCAUACUUGAUUGUGCAUCAUGUCAUGUUUAUGCUUGUGUGUUUAUCAUGUUGUUUGCUUCUUUUCGGUUGUGCUUCUUCUUGAUAGUUCCGGUUACGUUGCGAUUGUGAGGAUCCGUUUGACUAUGUGGACUCGUCUACUUCAUGGAUUCGGUCUUCUUCCGAGCGGGAUUUCAAGCAAGAUGAUCUUUACCCUGGAGAUCACUACUAUCUUUACCUUGCUAGUUGUCUCGAUGCUAUUGUUAUGUCGCGCUCCCUACCACUUGUUUAUCAAGCCUCCCAAAUUGCCAUGAUAUGCCUCCAACCUUUUCCAUCAUCCUAGCAAACCGUUGAUUGGCUAUAUUACCGCUUUGCUCAGCCUCUCUUAUAGCGUUGCUAGUUGCAGGUGCAGUGCAAGUUGUUCCAUAUUGGGACAUGUAAAGCAUGGGAUGUCACAAUAUCUCUUAUUUAAUUAAUGCAUCAAUACACUUGGUAAAGGGUGGAAGGCUCGGCCUUUUGCUUGGUGUUUUGUUCCAUUCUUGCCGCCUUAGUUUCCGUCAUACCGGUGUUAUGUUCCUUGAUUUUGCGUUCCUAACACGGUCGGGGUUUAUGGGCCCCCCUUGAUUCUUCGCUUAAAGUAAAGCUUUCCCAUGGAGAUCCAACUUUGGUUUUACCAUUUGCCUAAUAAUAACUGAAACUUGCAUAGGGACUGGCUAGCACCUGAGGAUUCUUAAUUAAUAACUUGACAUGAGUGUUGGUACACCUACCUAGCAGUCGGCGAUGUCGCCUCGGGGCAACUCGAGGUCUUUUGGCUAUCGUCCACUUUGCAUAUACGGAUGAGUCCGUAGAUAGAGAGCAAGCGGCUCUGGGCACGGAUCUGACUCACUGGGAGAUCUCCUUGGGAUAGUUUUCCUUUCUUCGAAGAACUUGUGAACCGGGAUUCUGAGCUUGAACGGGCUGUUCCGGAAUGGAGGAUUUUCCUCCGCAGAUCGUGAGAGUUUGUGAUGGACUAAAUUGGGACACCCCUGCAGGGUUAAAUCUUUUCGGAAGCCGUGCCCGCGGUUAUGUGGCAGAUGAGAAAUUUAUAAUAUCCGGUUGUAGAGAACUUGAAACCGGAUUCGAAAUAAAAUACACCAACCACGUGUGUAAUCGUGACCGUCUCUUUCCGAAGGAGUUCAAGAAGAGAACACAGUGGGGUUAUGUUUGACUAGUAAGUACUUCAGCAUCACUUCUUGAUCAUUACUAGUUUGCGACCGUGAUGCGUAGUUUCUCUUCUUAUUCUUGUACUUGUAAGUUAGCCACCAUACAAUGCUUAGCGCUUGCUGCAACCUCGCCACUUAUCCAUUCCAUACCCAUUAAGCUUUGCUAGUCUUAAUACCCAUGGUAAUGGGAUUGCUGAGUCCUCAUGGCUCGCAGAUUACUACAACAACAGGUGCAGUUACAGGUAAUGCGAUGAUCUGACAUGAGAGUGAUGCUUGAUUGCUUUUGGAGUUCUUCUUCUUCAAUCAAGGGAUAAGUUUCGGGUCGGGAGCCUGGGAUUAGCAGGGUGGAUGUCGUUCUUCUUUUUCAUUUGAUUUCAUCCAUAGUCGAAUCCUGCUCUUUUGUAUGAUGAUUGUUAUGUAUUGAUGUAUUCAUGUUGUAGCUUGUGGCGAGUGUAAGCAUGUAUCUGGUAUUCUCAUCUAUUUAGUACAUGGUAUGUGAAAGGAUCGAGAAGAGGUGUCUAGAGGGGGAGUGAUUAGACCCUCAACAAGCAAAAGUGUCAGUUUUUAAAUUCUUCAAGUUGAGGUGGAG
This 3254-nucleotide long non-coding RNA is filed under the name Triticum aestivum (bread wheat). Its description in RNAcentral is "long non-coding RNA (TAES_LNC004755)". The record is from RNAcentral. Lineage: Eukaryota; Viridiplantae; Streptophyta; Magnoliopsida; Poales; Poaceae.